CCGUCUAUAUACGUAUAGCAUAUCAAUAAGCGGAGGAAAAGAAACUAACUAGGAUUCCCUCAGUAACGGCGAGUGAAGCGGGAAGAGCUCAAAUUUGAAAUCUUCAAGGUUCUACCUUGACGAAUUGUAGUUUAAAGAAGUGUUUUCUGUUGGAGUUUUGGUAAAAGUUCUUUGGAAUAGGACAUCAUAGAGGGUGAGAAUCCCGUAUUUGACCAUUAUUUCCAACUUUGUGAUACACUUUCAAAGAGUCGGAUUGUUUGGGAAUGCAGUCCAAAAUGGGUGGUAAAUUUCAUCUAAAGCUAAAUACUGGCGAGAGACCGAUAGCGAACAAGUACCGUGAGGGAAAGAUGAAAAGAACUUUGAAAAGAGAGUUAAACAGUACGUGAAAUUGUCAAAAGGGAAGCGUUUGACACCAGUGUUGUUUUCUCGAAAAUCAAUUAAAAAUGGCGGGAUUUUGUGUUGUAUUGACUUUAUCAGCUUUCUGCACUUUUUUCCUAUCUUUUUUAAUGCACUUUUCGUUUAACAAGUCAACAUCAAUUUCUUUUGUUGUAAAAGAGUCAUUGGAAGGUGGCUUUCUUUUCGGAGAAAGUGUUUAUAGCCUUUGACUUCUGCAAUCGGAGAGAUUGAGGUCUGCAGCGUAGAUCCUUCGGGGUUAGAUGCAUUUGUGCUAAGUUAUAGCCUUUCAUAGACAACUUGUUGACUAUGAUCAGUCAUGUAGCUUACUCGCUUAUGUCAUUUUACCUACGCUUAGGAUGUUGACGAUCAGCUGAGCGCG
This 775-nucleotide ribosomal RNA is filed under the name uncultured Neocallimastigales. RNAcentral's name for it is "partial large subunit ribosomal RNA". It matches the Rfam family "Eukaryotic large subunit ribosomal RNA", at positions 25 to 627 of the family's 3401-position model. Lineage: Eukaryota; Fungi; Neocallimastigomycota; Neocallimastigomycetes; Neocallimastigales. The record is from RNAcentral.